RNAcentral lists this ribosomal RNA (451 nucleotides) under uncultured bacterium. RNAcentral describes it as "partial 16S ribosomal RNA". It matches the Rfam family "Bacterial small subunit ribosomal RNA", at positions 29 to 523 of the family's 1533-position model. The record is from RNAcentral.
AACGAACGCUGGCGGCAUGCCUAACACAUGCAAGUCGAACGCCUGUAGCAAUACAGGAUUGGCAGACGGGUGCAUAACACGUGGGAACCUACCCUUGGGUUCGGAAUAACCGCGGGACACUGCGGCUAAUACCGGAUACGUCCUAUGGGAGAAAGAUUCAUCGCCCUUGGAGGGGCCCGCGUCGGAUUAGCUAGUUGGUGAGGUAACGGCUCACCAAGGCGACGAUCCGUAGCUGAUCUGAGAGGAUGAUCAGCCACACUGGAACUGAGACACGGUCCAGACUCCUACGGGAGGCAGCAGUGGGGAAUAUUGGACAAUGGGGGCAACCCUGAUCCAGCAAUGCCGCGUGGGUGAUGAAGGCCUUCGGGUUGUAAAGCCCUUUUGGCAGGGACGAUGAUGACGGUACCUGCAGAAUAAGCCCCGGCUAACUUCGUGCCAGCCGCCGCAGUAA